This is a long non-coding RNA of Ipomoea nil (Japanese morning glory), 2175 nucleotides long. RefSeq lists it as uncharacterized. The transcript is spliced from 4 exons. Lineage: Eukaryota; Viridiplantae; Streptophyta; Magnoliopsida; Solanales; Convolvulaceae. The record is from RefSeq and is a predicted model, not a curated record.
AACCUAACCAUUAUUGCAAAGUCAUUGCAGCACAGCUUUUAUCAGUUAGAGAGAGCUUCAAGGGGAGAUGGGGCAGAUAUAUCUCCAGUAAAGAUGAUCCCUUGGAGGAAAAUGCUUGUGCUUCAUGUACUUAUAAUUCUAGAUUUCAACAAUUAGUUGCUUAGAAAAAUCGAAAUUAGCUUCACCCUGGGGAUAGAAGUGAAGUGCUGCAGUUGUUUCCACUACUUUGUUGAGCAGCCUUCUCCUUGCAGCAGGUAAUUUGAAGUACUAAUUGAUAGAAGAAAAAAGAUCAAAGUUUGUUGAUAGUGAAAGAUAAUCUAUUUAUUUUUAGUUGUAAGCUUUUCUGGUGGAUUUCCCUGAUUACUUUGAGAUUGUAAUUGUUUUAAUGAGCAUUCUAUAUCCUUACUGUUGCCCCGUUCUAGCAUUGAUUUAAUGAUAAUACAUUAGCUUGUCUAAUUGUUAGCUGAGUUUAUAUAGUUGCAAGAACACAUUGAAGAGACUCCAGUAUUCAAGAGCUUGUUGAUCAAAUCAAGUUUCAAGUGAAGAAUGAUGAGCACAACUAUAUGUUUAAUUGUUAAAGUUUGGGAAUUUGAUAUUCCUUUUCUAAGCUAAACUGUCCUCCAUUUUCAUCCAUUUUUUACAAUUGAGUGAUCAACCCUUCUCAGCCAACUUGUUAAUGAAUUCCAGAGAGUCUAUCUUAAGGAGGACUAGCCUUACAUGGUUGAAGAAUGUUUUAUGUAUUUCAGUAUUUGUAUCAUUGCUCUUUCGAUUUUCUUUUCAGUGUCGCUUUAAAUUAAUAACUUUCUGUAUUCCUUGAAUUUCCUUAUCAGAUGCAGAAAUGAUCUUUCUUAACCAAUUGGUAAUCAUGUAGAGAACUCAUAUUUAUACAGUGAGAGAUUCUGUGAAUGAUGGUUAUGCUAAGAUCAGCUGUUCUUCAUUUUGGAGUUUGUAUGCUAUACUUGCUAAGAGUUUCUUAGCUUGCCGAUAAUUGCAAUCUUUAAAAUGUGUGUAUAUAUUGCCUUCCUUUUUAUGCCUAGUCACAUAAAUUUUUCUUAGUGGCAUCCAUUUAGGUACACAAUCUGAUUAUUUAUGUCAUCAACUAACCAUUAUCGGAAAGUCAUUGCACCACUACUUUAAGUGGCCUUUUAGAUAUAGAGAGCUAUUAGCUUAUACAGAGUAGUUUUGACUAUGCAGGGGAUUAUGAAAAUAUAUAACUCAGUGAAGCCAUCUUUAAACCUGUGCCACAGUUCCAUUCAUGCUUGUAGAGCAGGUGAUUUAUAUGCAGAUUCAUGGCUGACAAGGAAAGCAUGCUUUUGGGAGCGAAAACUGCUCUGAUUAGAUUCGUUUGCAUCUACAAAUGGUACAACUAUCUUCAUUGCAGGCUGAUGUGUAUGAAAUCUGGGGAUUGAGGGAUGAGGACAGACAGAAGCACAGAAAAGCAUGCAUGAAAAUCCUAAAAUGUCUGUUGAGGCUAUAUUGCCAUAUUUUCCAUCAUGGUGACUAAAGUGGGGUGUCCUUGUGAUCCAUUGCACAGAUUCUCAGGACACCAAAGCCUUGUAGUUGGGUUGGCAAAAAUUUUAUCACUGUUUUGGUAAGCAAUAAUCAUGUUCAUCAAAUGCCAUAUUAUUGUUCAAUUAAAGGCUAUGUAAUGUGCAGUGUGUGUCAUUAAAGUUGUGAGGUCUAGCUUUUUUGUGACAAUCCCUCGUGACUUUGAUGCCCAGGCUAACACCUGUCUUGUCUUCUCCCCUUUGGUCUUAUCAUUUGUGGGAUGGCAAAGUCAAAAACAUUGUGGAAUUAUUACAUACUAAAGAGCCAUUUCACACUAUGAAGUGAAAAAGGCUUAUGCUCAUGACUACAUGAUUUUGAGUCAUAAUAUUUUGCUCUCGGGACAUAGCUUAAUUAGUUGACUGAUUCAACGAAAAAUAACGUUUUGUUUGUUAUUAGUCAUAGCUCGUAGUUCAUAGGGUGUAAUACUUUGAGAAACUUGUGAACGGUUUAAAAUAUAUUCUGUGAUUUAAUCUCUUUCAACAAGAUUUCAGGGUAAAGACAAAUGACUAAAUGAGGGCUUUCAGAGUUGGAGUUUAAUCCUGAGUAAAGGCAGCAUUCAUAAAUUGUAACCAUUACUAUGAGAUGUAGGUUAAGCGAAGUGGAGGUUCACUAUAUGGUGAAUUAUCG